CCUUCGAUAGCUCAGUUGGUAGAGCGGUGGACUGUAGUUAUUUGUGUAUAUAAGUGGAUAUCCAUAGGUCGCUGGUUCAAAUCCGGCUCGAAGGA
Molecule: transfer RNA, 95 nt
Filed under: Oryctes borbonicus
Lineage: Eukaryota; Metazoa; Arthropoda; Insecta; Coleoptera; Scarabaeidae
Rfam family: tRNA
About the family: Transfer RNA (tRNA) molecules are approximately 80 nucleotides in length. Their secondary structure includes four short double-helical elements and three loops (D, anti-codon, and T loops).
Source: Rfam by way of RNAcentral